This is a long non-coding RNA of Lepus europaeus (European hare), 5086 nucleotides long. RefSeq lists it as uncharacterized. NCBI's taxonomy places the organism in Eukaryota, Metazoa, Chordata, Mammalia, Lagomorpha, Leporidae. The transcript is spliced from 3 exons. The record is from RefSeq and is a predicted model, not a curated record.
CCUGGUAGUACUCCAUCGCCUGCUGCUUCAGCUUCCGCAGCUCCCUGGCGGUCCCAGAGCUGCGGCUGCCGCUGUCUUCCCCCAUGAUGGAGAGUGUCACCGUGUACGGCCUGUGUGGGUGCAAAGCCAGGAGCAAGACGAGGUGCGAUGCAAGGUGGGAGAGGACGGCUUCAGGUAGGAAGCCAGCUGAGGCGCGAGAAAAAUUACUGUCUGAAACACAAAGAGUGAUGAUUGAUAGAGUUGCUGCGAUUUUCCAGGCCGGCUUUAGCUGUCCCUAUGAUGCUUUGAAUUUCUCCGUCGAUCAUAAUGUACUCACUAGGUUGGAGUCCAACGCUAUGGGUUGAUAGGAUCAUCUUGUUUUCUGUUUUAUUUAUUUUUCAAAAAACAAGUUAAAAUAAGCAAAGUACCACCAGUGCUCAGUGUUCAGCAAGCCCAGAGGCAGUGCCAGGGCCAUGAUGAGACGUGUGCGUCCAGAACUUGGACUUGACGCGCUGGUGGGUCUGGUGGGAUGGCAGCACUCGCUGGCUGGCCCAGAACUGGACGGAUGCCCCAGUGCUUGAACACACACACACACACACACGUGCGUGAGCGGGUCUGUGAGACCAGGCAUGCCACGGGCAUUGAAGGCCAGGCUGUGUUACGGGGAGACAGUGAUGCGGGGAAAGCAAGGUACAUUUUGGGAAAUCUGGGACCAGAUCCAAGGAGUUUGGUUCUGGGAAAGAGGGGCUGUCUCAAGUAAAGGUUGCCUGGAACUUGGGGUCUGUGGCUUCCAUGGGGCCAGGGAAAUAGAUUGCUCACGCCUGCUGGUCAUGUAGGGGUAUGCCUAGGACGAUACCUGGGUGCCCGGCAGCAUGGCCGGAGUGCUUCCUGGCUCGGGACCCCGUGUGGUAUCUCAGUCUGCUGGUGGGUGAGCCACCGAAUGAAGACAGGCUGGCCCGAGAGGUACCCAGGACGUGGCUGAGCACAGAGAAUUAGCAGCAUCCGCUAGCCGGCCAACCUCACGGGUGACCCGUGGGCAGAUUGAUGGAGCCAUCCUUUCCCACAGUUGAGUUGCUUGUCCCAAACCGUUUCCCCCAGGGACCUCUUUUGUCACUAACUGCCCUUAAAAGACCCACUUUGCAUUUGUGUCCUCUCUCUGUUCACCCCUCUCAUGCCACAGUGCGUGUUCUUUGUCCUCUUCUUUGGUGACCUGCGUGCCUCUUGCUGCUCCUGCAGACGGCUGUUUCCCAUGUAUUCGCACACACACUGCUCCUGUCCACUUUAGUUCCAGUUCUAAGCCCCGCCUCCACCCCGCCUGCUGUGAGUCCUGACCUGAAAAGCUGCCGAUGCUGCUGUGUAGCUUAGAGGGCAAACCACCGUUCUGUGGGUUCACGAGUGGCCCCCUAGAAGUCUCCGUGUGCGUGUGAGGAGGAGUACCGAGCAGUCAUCCUGGAAGACACGAGUGCUAAAGAAAACCUUCCACGGCAAGCGGUCAGCCUGGAAAAGUGGGCCAAUGAGCUCCUAAAACUAAAGCGAAAGGCUUUGGAAGACUUGCCACCAGAGGCAAGCCCUUGUGGGUGGCAGUGGGCCUCUGUUCUGUGGCAUUGAUGUACGGCCACGCGCCCCUUAGCGAUGAGGCUGCACUCUGAAAAAUGCGUCUUCGGAUGUGUCCUUGUCAACUCCCAGGGUGCACAAACCCAUGUGGGGUGACCCCCUGCACACCCAGGCUGCCGGACGCUACCUCUUUCUAGACCCCAAAGCUGGGCAGCCUGUUCUGUGCUGAGUUCCGUGGGCGGUGGCAGUGCAAUGGGAAGUGUUUGUGUUUCUCAGCGUGGAAAAGGUGCCGUGAAGAGGCUAGGGUUUUUGAGCUGCGUUGUGUGGGAUCACCAUCACACACGUGGGCCAUCCCUGAUCAGAAUGUUGUCACGUGGCCUGUGACCGCUCAUCACCAUGGUGACCCUGCCAAGGUAAAAUUCUGUUUGGUUGAAAUUACCCUGCACCCUCUAAAAAGGCAAAUCUGAUUUUGUUACUCUCUCUUUGAGGGUUUUCUUGGUGGCCCUUCCAAGUCUAGUCAUGGCUCUUCUUCGACCAUGAACGCUUGCUCUGGUUGUGUUGAUCCACCAGCAGUGGCCUGGACAUGCUGGGAUGCUUCAUGCCUCAGGGCCUUUGCACAACCUCCGUCCUUGGAAUGAAUGCCCAUUUUCCCUUUCGUUCUUCCUACAAACACCUGUUACAAUGAAAGCCUCACCUCCCUAUCAAACCCUCCGAGUCUGCUCUUGCCAAGUUGGGUUGCCAUGCUUUCUUCCAUCCUGUUCAGAAUGCUGUGUUUGUCUUGUAAUAGUGGUGGCAGCAGCAGUAGUGGUGCUCGUGGUGCUAGUCAUGGUACUACUAGUAGUAGUAGUAUCAGUAGUAGUAGUAGUAGUAGUAGUGGUAUUUCCCUUCUAUUGAGAUCCUCUGAGUGCCAUCAGUAUUUCUGCCAUUGUAAGCCUUACCGCCCUAUGCCAAAGGUGCAGCUGUAUUUAUUAUUUAUUGUACAAGGAGGAUCCUGAAGCUCAAGUUGCACUGUUGAUGUCCCGUAGCUUCAAAGUGGCGGAGCCAGAACCUGAACCCAGUCACUGUGGCCCCAGUUCACAUUACCCAGCAUCUUCAAUACAGAACCGCCAGACCAUGCCACUCGGAUUAUAAACGACCACCUUGCUGGUAGAGAGGUACAGUUUGGUUUUCAGUUCAUCUCCUGUCUAGAUGGCAUUUUCCUUGUGGUGAGUGACACUCACUUUGUAUUCUUGUGCCUACCAUAGGGCCCACACAUGGUAGAGACUCAGUGUGGGCUGCAUUUAAUACAGUGGAGUUGAAUUGUUCUAAAUAUUUCUGUAUACGUAUACAGGUAUACAUUCUCUCUCUCACUGCUUCUCCUGCUCUUUCUCUAUAUGUGUAUACUAGGAUGUUUCCAAAAGUUCAUGAAAAAUGGAAUUAAAAUGUUUCAGUACAAAAAUGGUUUGAAAUCCAUGCAUACUUUUUGUCACAAGAAGUGAUUUUCAUGAACUUUUUGAAGACCCUUUGUGUACAUGGAUUUCAAAAUUUUUGCAACAAAAUAUUAUUUAUAUAAUUUAUUUAUUUGUUAGACAGAGAGAGGUCUCCUUUCUGCUAAUUUACCUCUUUAAUGUUCACCACGGCCAGGGCUGGGCUGGGCCAGAGCUGGGAGCCCAGAACUCAAACCAGGUCUCCCACGUGGGUGGCAGGAACCCAGCCACUUGAGCCAUCACCGCUGUCUCUCGGUGUCUACAUUAGCAGGAAGCUGGAAUCAGGAGCCAGAGCUGGGACCUGAACCCAGCUACUCUGAUGGAGGACAUGGGCUUUCUAACCACUAGGCAAACUGCCUACUCUUAGACUUAUGCUUCAGUUCUGUUUUUUGGAAUUACUCUUGUAUGUACACAAUAUAUGCACAUGUCACACACACACACACACAGGUGUGUAGACAUGCGUUAUGUGGAAUCUUCAACUCUUAAUUCUGAGCUGACCUUGUUCCCCUAGGCGGUGGAUGAGACAGCAUGUAUCUGGGCCUGCAUGUCCCUGACGACAGACCUCCAACCUCUUGAAAUUCUGCCGUCACGUGCCGUAUCAUGGUUAGGUCAGAUCGCUCGUGAGCAGAGAGGGAGGCCUGGGUAAGAUCGAAUCCACGAGUGUUCUCCCUCUGGUCGUCUCAAGCGUAAGGGUGGUGCGUUCUGUUCCAUCCAGUCGCUGAGCUCGCUCACCGUGGUGCACGUGGGUUGCAGCGACAGGCACCUGCGGGAGCUCUCCUGCAGUGGACCGUGUGUUACAUAAAGGGGAGACUCUACUGAGCCCACACUGAAACCCUGCUCACCACAGGACCAGGGCUUUGCCAGGACUUGGAGGCAGUCAUGAGAUCGGGGCGGGGGUGAAGGUUCAUUUGCAACCAAUUCAAGGGCCACAAACUCACCUGCCCUUUGGAGUCCGGCCUUGUGCAGUUGCAUCACUGUGUACCAGCACUCAGUUGACAUUGACUGGGUCACAUUUGUUUACGCUUUGUGCACAUGAAACCUUUUAAAAUUAGAUUCUAGAACUUUUUAAAAUAUUUAUUUAUUUGAAAGGCAGGCAGAGAUCUCUUCCAUUUGCUGAGCCACUCCCCAGAUGCCCACAGCAGCCAAAUCUGGGCCAGGCCGAAGCCAGGAGCCCAAACUCUGGGUCUCCUGUGUGGGGGACAGGGACUCAAGCACUCGGGCCAUCUGCUGCCUUCCCAGGUACGUUAGCAGGGAGCUGGAUUGGAAGCGGAGCAGCUGGCGUUCCAGGAUGGGACGCCGGAGUCCGAGUGGCAGCCUGAGCUGCUGUACCACACCGCCAGCCUGAGAUUCUAGAACUUUAAGAGCAUCAGGUUCUCCUCUCUUCUUCCGAAAUGAUUCAGUGGCCAUGGGUGAGCCCACCCAGGCCGUCCUGCCUUCCCACUCCCACCGCCCCGUUGUGCCCCUCAUUGUGCCCCUCGCUGGCUCCUUGGCUUCGUUGCUCCCCUUCCUGGGACCCUUCCUGUUGGCCUCUCCAGAUGCUACACGUCCUUUGAGUACCUCUGGCGCCUGUGGCGAUCUUACUCCUUCCUGCUUUGCUGUGGGUUUGCAGUCAUGACCCCUGCCAAACAUCUGUCUUAGCACGCAGAACUCUGACAGUGGUGGGGCCUGGGGGGACCACGGGACAGAUUGUGCCAGUGUCUGCGUCAUUUUUCAGACUGUAGUAACAGUGAAAAUUGCAGAGCCAGUGAGCUGGUACUUCUGCAAGAGUAGAAUGUUCUGGAAAUGUCCUGUUUUAAGAAUAUUUGUAAAUAUUUAGUAAUCUUCCAUGAAAAUAAAAGCUUGUGGUCAUCCAAAAAAAUGCUUUUCUGAAUUAUGUCUUUGUGUGUCCUUGAUACAGGACUGGCUUGGACACGGUGCCCUUUGCAGUCCCAUUCACUCUCCUGUGUUCGAUGCUCUGCUGUCACCAUCUUGAAUUGCUUCCUGCAGUUUUGCGUUGCACUGGGCCACACAGAUCCCAUAGGUGGUCCUGCCUUGGAUAUGCAACCCUCCCCCCACCGCGAUGUGAUGUAUGGAGUUUAUAGCAUUAA